UUGAUGACCUAUGAUGAACGUGUACAAACCAUCUCAGUUGGUCUUGUGAUUUAUCUUCAAUUAGUGUUGGUUUCUCCUACUCAUAAAUGUACUCAGUUUUUAUCCACUUCGUGUUUUCCACACAUACAUUUUAGCAUUAUCAUCUCUCACACACUAAUUUUGUGGAUGUAAUGUUUCCUCCAUGCACAAUGCUUGUUGCCAUUAAUAACUGCCAGUUGAAAA
Molecule: unclassified non-coding RNA, 222 nt
Filed under: Hevea brasiliensis (rubber tree)
Lineage: Eukaryota; Viridiplantae; Streptophyta; Magnoliopsida; Malpighiales; Euphorbiaceae
Source: RNAcentral